UUAUAGCCUGGGAGGCAACCGAUCGGUAUAUAUAUAUAUAUUUAUUUGUUGUUAGCUAGCCAUUAUUUAGCGGUCCUCAUCGUAUGAGAGUUGAGUGCUUAGCGUGGGACGCUAUUAUAACUUUAUAAGCGGUCCUCAUCAUAUGUGAGUAGAUCGCUUAGCGUGGGAUGCUCUUAUAGCCUGGGAGGCUCAUCGUUAUGGUGAAAUCUCUUCCCCAAUUUUUAUCGAUUUAUUAGGAACCAAUGGGAUUGGUUCAUUAUUUUUGGUCUUUAAUUAUUUUCGGAAAGAUUUCCAAGAAUGGCAUGCAUAAAUAUUUUCUCAAUAGAAAAUAUGGGAAAAACAUUAAAUUGAUUUCAAUGCUCUAUUAUUAAGUCCGUAUUUUUAUUAUUUAUUUUGUCCACUCACUCUAAUGUUUUAAAUGCUUUCCCCUGGGCCUUUCGUUUUAAAUGCCCAGUCUGCAGAGUUCUGUUCGGCGAGGGUAGGAGGCGAGUCAUAUUUCCCACCUCAUCCAGUUUUCUCUCAUAGGUUACUAAUUAUCCUACCUGUGUAUUUUCUUCUUUCCUAGUAGAUGCUCUGGAUAAACAUGGGUUGUUUUAAGUGAUAUUAAUAUUGUUUUUAUUGUGGUUGUGUGCUAAGAGCUUAUGACUCCACUUAGGAGUGAUGAAAAAGACAUAUUUGGUAUGUUUGUAUGAGAGAUUAAAUUCAUGAAAUUAUUUUGAUUUAUUAUGUGAGUUGAGGUGGUGGAUGUUUAUUGGGGGAGCGGAUGGCUCCAAACACUACUAGAGAUGUACCCUUUAAUGACACUUAUUUUAUGACGUUUUGGGAUAAACGUCAUUGUAGGGGGCUUCCAUGACGUUUAGGGCAGCAAACGUCAUGGAUGUAAAACACGGAGCAAUUAUAUGACGUUUUAUAAACGUCAUGGUAAAACACUUACCAUGACGUUUAUUUUUCGUCAUCAAUAGGUUUCAAUGACGGUUUCGGUCUACAUGCAUAUCGUUUGGGCCAUGACAGUUUAUUACUAUCAUCAAAAGUUUUGGGAAAAAUUUUGACACUGUGCCCAAAAUUUGGCUUCGCGCCUGACCCGAAAUUUGGCCCUAAAAUUUUGAGUUUCAGUUUGAGUUCGUUCCCUUUAGUUUUAACUUACUUGCCUAAAAUUUCUCUCACCCAAACUCCAUCUCAAACUUCACUUUCCAAUUUCUCUCUUGCAAAUCAGUCACCCAAACUCAAUCUCACACUCGAUCCGAAUCUCAUCCCAAACUCGAUCUCUCACCCAAAUCAGUCACCCCUCUCCCAAAUCUCAUCCCCAAAUCUAACACCCCUCUCCCAAAAUCUUAUCCCCAAAUCUCAUCCAAAUCUGUCCCACUGCUCUUCGCCCUAAUCCCAAUUGUUUGAGAGUAGAAAUAGCUUCUGGACAAGAAGAGAAACCUAGAGAACAAAAGAUAGAGAGAGGAACAACCUUUUCUAAUUUCGUUUUUGGCAAAGGUAGAUUCCAUACUUCCUAUAGCUUUAUUUCAAUUUGUUCUUGUUUUUAGUUUUUGAUUAUGAUUCUUUUGUUUAUUUAUGGUUGGUGAUUUCGAAUUCUCAGACUUUUAGAGAUAGGAAUCCAGUUUGAAUCAGUUGUGUUAGGUUCCAAUUAGAAUCGUUGUAGUUGUAGCUCAAGAACCAUGUUCUUGAGUUUGGGUGUCCAAAGUAGAUUUUGUGUAUCCUUUUGAUUUAACUAUUUGUUAUGUUUAAAAUGAUUUCGUGUCCUAGCAAUCUUUUCCUUCCAUUCUAAAGUUUUAGAACUUGUUUUGUACUUCAAAAGAUCGAAUUAAAGCUUCCAAAAACCAAGUUUUAUUGUUGCUGGAAAUUUCCAGAAUUCUGCAGAAAAAGCUGAUUUUCUUGCCUACUUUGAGGCAUGAUAUCUUUCAGCUCAUGCCUAUGUUUUGGAAUCCGAAAGUACCUUUGUAAAGCUCAUAUAUCUAACUAUGUGUGUAUUAAAUUUCACAGGAUUUGGUUAAUAUUUGGUUUGUCAAAUUGCUUGGCAAAAACAGUAGCAGAUUCAGCCAAAAGCUGAAUUUUCUGGGUUUUCAGAUUUUUGCUUCAACUUUGAGAGAGCCUAACUUUCUGUUCAGGGCUUUGUUUUCAAAACUCAAGCUAUGUAAUUAAAGCUUGUAAUCUCAUAUUUACAAUAGGCUUUGGUUCAUAAACAUUUGUUGGAUUUGAGUGAGUGGAAAAUGAAGCCAAAACCACCAUCUUACACACUGUUUUGACACAAGGCUGAGAAAUGAAACCUUGUUCUAACUCAGUCAUUUCUUUAACAGCUGAUUCCUAUAUUUUGCAGUAGCUCAUUAAACAACUUUUGAGUCUUAUUUUGUAUCUGUUUUAUAGUUUAGAGUUUCUUAUUUAUGUAUAUUACUUGCAACAUAGUACUAAAUCUAGUUUUUCAUUCUUUGUAUGUACUUUACCUUUUGGGUAAGGUUCUGGAGACGAUCUUGGCAAUCCACAAGUGUGAGAGGUGGCGUUGGAUCUUGAGUUUUGCUGUGCAAUCGAGGGUUUGAUGGGGUGUUUGUGUUAUUGUUAUUUAUGCUAUUACAUGGUUUGUUUGAUAUUGAAUUGUUGAUGACAUUGGAUGAUUUGUGAAAUUGGAUUAUUUGGUAUUCGAUUGUUUGACAUUGAAUUGUGUGGCAAUAUUCGAAUUAAAUGUGGAUGAUAUUGAGAUCUUGAAUUGAUUAUGAUAUGUUUAUAUUUGAAAGCAUGUGUUCUUAAGUGGAAUCUAUAUUAUUACAUGACGUUAUUGUAUUAAAACUUAUAGACCUAUCAAAUAAAACUUAUAAAUAAAACUAUAAUACCUAUCAAAUAAAACUAUAAUACAAGCUUAAGCUUAAGCUUCACUGAUUGAGUGUUUAUUUGUUUGGUGUUUUAUUUAAUUGGCAGCUCUAAAUGCUUGUUAUUAGGAUGUUAAUAGAGUUAUUGUUGCUGUUUUAAUUUGAUUUGUGUUUUGCGCAUCCGUAUAACAUGUAGCUGUUUGGAUUUGUAAAUUUUGGUAGGUGUAAUGCAAUUAUAAUUUAGCAUGAAUAAGAGCUGGAUAUCUUGGGAUCCAAAUAGUUCCCAGUACCAAGAAAAGGUUAAAGAUUUUAUU
Molecule: long non-coding RNA, 3121 nt
Filed under: Fragaria vesca (wild strawberry)
Lineage: Eukaryota; Viridiplantae; Streptophyta; Magnoliopsida; Rosales; Rosaceae
Description: long non-coding RNA (FVES_LNC005408)
Source: RNAcentral